RNAcentral lists this ribosomal RNA (401 nucleotides) under uncultured bacterium. RNAcentral's name for it is "bacterial SSU rRNA". It matches the Rfam family "Bacterial small subunit ribosomal RNA", at positions 974 to 1375 of the family's 1533-position model. The record is from RNAcentral.
CCUACUCUUGACAUCCAGAGAACAUUCCAGAGAUGGAUUGGUGCCUUCGGGAACUCUGAGACAGGUGCUGCAUGGCUGUCGUCAGCUCGUGUUGUGAAAUGUUGGGUUAAGUCCCGCAACGAGCGCAACCCUUAUCCUUUGUUGCCAGCGAUUUGGUCGGGAACUCAAAGGAGACUGCCGGUGAUAAACCGGAGGAAGGUGGGGAUGACGUCAAGUCAUCGUGGCCCUUACGAGUAGGGCUACACACGUGCUACAAUGGCGUAUACAGAGGGAAGCGAGAGUGCGAGCUGGAGCGAAUCUCACAAAGUACGUCUAAGUCCGGAUUGGAGUCUGCAACUCGACUCCAUGAAGUCGGAAUCGCUAGUAAUCGCAAAUCAGAAUGUUGCGGUGAAUACGUUCCC